CGCCUGUUUAACAAAAACAUCUCUUUUUGAGCAUAAAUAAAAAGUUUAACCUGCCCACUGAUAAAAUUAAAUGGCCGCAGUAUAUUAACUGUGCAAAGGUAGCAUAAUCAUUAGUCUUUUAAUUGAAGGCUGGAAUGAAUGGUUGGACGAAAUAUUUACUGUUUCAUAUUAAUUUUUGAUAAAAUUUUAUUUUUUAGUAAAAAAGCUAAAAUAAUAUUAAAAGACGAGAAGACCCUAUAAAUCUUUAUAUUUUAAUUAAUUUUUAUAAAUUAGAAAUUAAAUUAUUUAAUUUAAUUUAAAUAUUUUAUUGGGGUGAUAUUAAAAUUUAAUUAACUUUUAAUUUUAUUGAACAUUAAUUUAUGAAUUAUUGAUCCAAUAAUAUUGAUUAUUAGAAUAAGUUACUUUAGGGAUAACAGCGUAAUUUUUUUGGAGAGUUCAUAUUGUUAUAAAAUAUUGCGACCUCGAUGUUGGAUUAAGAAAUAAAUUUAGGUGUAGAAGCUUAAAAAAUUAAACUCCUGGUCGUUCAGA
Molecule: ribosomal RNA, 528 nt
Filed under: Lipoptena cervi
Lineage: Eukaryota; Metazoa; Arthropoda; Insecta; Diptera; Hippoboscidae
Description: partial large subunit ribosomal RNA
Rfam family: Bacterial large subunit ribosomal RNA (bases 1-165)
Source: RNAcentral